RNAcentral lists this transfer RNA (73 nucleotides) under Candidatus Levybacteria bacterium RIFCSPLOWO2_01_FULL_36_10. RNAcentral's name for it is "tRNA-Thr". It matches the Rfam family "tRNA". Rfam says of the family: Transfer RNA (tRNA) molecules are approximately 80 nucleotides in length. Their secondary structure includes four short double-helical elements and three loops (D, anti-codon, and T loops). The record is from RNAcentral. Lineage: Bacteria; Candidatus Levyibacteriota.
GCCGUCUUAGCUCAGUUGGUAGAGCGGCGCUUUCGUAAAGCGUAGGUCGUGAGUCCGAAUCUCACAGACGGCU